RNAcentral lists this ribosomal RNA (253 nucleotides) under uncultured bacterium. Its description in RNAcentral is "partial 16S ribosomal RNA". It matches the Rfam family "Bacterial small subunit ribosomal RNA", at positions 524 to 776 of the family's 1533-position model. The record is from RNAcentral.
UACGGGGGGGGCAAGCGUUGUUCGGAAUUACUGGGCGUAAAGGGCUCGUAGGCGGCCAACUAAGUCGGAUGUGAAAUCCCCAGGCUUAACCUGGAAACUGCAUCCGAUACUGGAUGGCUUGAAUUCGGGAGAGGGAUGCAGAAUUCCAGGUGUAGCGGUGAAAUGCGUAGAUAUCUGGAGGAAUACCGGUGGCGAAGGCGGCAUCCUGGACCGACAUUGACGCUGAUGAGCGAAAGCUAGGGGAGCAAACGGG